This 710-nucleotide ribosomal RNA is filed under the name Entrophospora etunicata. RNAcentral's name for it is "eukaryotic LSU rRNA". It matches the Rfam family "Eukaryotic large subunit ribosomal RNA", at positions 65 to 626 of the family's 3401-position model. The record is from RNAcentral. Lineage: Eukaryota; Fungi; Glomeromycota; Glomeromycetes; Entrophosporales; Entrophosporaceae.
CUAACAAGGAUUCCCCUAGUAACGGCGAGUGAAGAGGGAAGAGCUCAAAUUUUAAAUCUGCCUUGUUCCAAGGUCGAGUUGUAAUUUGAAGAAGCGUUUUCUUGGGCUCGCGGCCGGUAGAAGUUCUUUGGAACAGGACAUCAUAGAGGGUGACAAUCCCGUCCGUGACCGGUCGUGCGUUCAUAUACGAUACGCUUUCAAAGAGUCGAGUUGUUUGGGAUUGCAGCUCCAAACGGGUGGUAAACAUCACCUAAGGCUAAAUAUUGGCGAGAGACCGAUAGCGAACAAGUACCGUGAGGGAAAGAUGAAAAGAACUUUGAAAAGAGAGUUAAACAGUACGUGAAAUUGUUGAAAGGGAAACGAUUGAAGUCAGUCGUGCUGGCGCGAAAUCAACCCUCUCGUCUUGAGAUCACAUGGCGCGACGAGCCUCAAAACCGUCACGAAGCGUGAACUCUUGACGAAAAGGUGCACUUUCGUGUCCGCUGGUUAACAUCAAUUUCGAACGUCAUAAAAAGGCUGGAGGGAUGUGGCUCCUUCGGGAGUGUUAUAACCUUUAGCGGAAUGUGGCGUUCGGGAUUGAGGAUUGCAACGAAUACCUUCAGGGCUGUUCCACCUGGCUUCUCAUUGGUAUCCUGGUGACGACAGCUUGCUGACGUCGUUAGGAUCAGCUUCUGAACAGGCUAGAGUGUGAGCAAAUUCGUUAAGGAUGU